AAGGCCUUAGCUUAAAUAAAGUGUCUGUUUUGCAUUCAGAGUAUGUGGGUUAAAGUCUUGCAGGUCUUA
Molecule: transfer RNA, 69 nt
Filed under: Derichthys serpentinus (narrownecked oceanic eel)
Lineage: Eukaryota; Metazoa; Chordata; Actinopteri; Anguilliformes; Derichthyidae
Description: tRNA-Ala
Rfam family: tRNA
About the family: Transfer RNA (tRNA) molecules are approximately 80 nucleotides in length. Their secondary structure includes four short double-helical elements and three loops (D, anti-codon, and T loops). Further hydrogen bonds mediate the characteristic L-shaped molecular structure. tRNAs have two regions of fundamental functional importance: the anti-codon, which is responsible for specific mRNA codon recognition, and the 3' end, to which the tRNAs corresponding amino acid is attached (by aminoacyl-tRNA synthetases). tRNAs cope with the degeneracy of the genetic code in two manners: having more than one tRNA (with a specific anti-codon) for a particular amino acid; and 'wobble' base-pairing, i.e. permitting non-standard base-pairing at the 3rd anti-codon position.
Source: RNAcentral